Molecule: ribosomal RNA, 427 nt
Filed under: uncultured bacterium
Lineage: Bacteria
Description: partial 16S ribosomal RNA
Rfam family: Bacterial small subunit ribosomal RNA
Source: RNAcentral
UGGGGAAUAUUGCACAAUGGGCGCAAGCCUGAUGCAGCCAUGCCGCGUGUAUGAAGAAGGCCUUCGGGUUGUAAAGUACUUUCAGCGGGGAGGAAGGUGUUGGGGUUAAUAACCUCAGCAAUUGACGUUACCCGCAGAAGAAGCACCGGCUAACUCCGUGCCAGCAGCCGCGGUAAUACGGAGGGUGCAAGCGUUAAUCGGAAUUACUGGGCGUAAAGCGCACGCAGGCGGUCUGUCAAGUCGGAUGUGAAAUCCCCGGGCUCAACCUGGGAACUGCAUUCGAAACUGGCAGGCUAGAGUCUUGUAGAGGGGGGUAGAAUUCCAGGUGUAGCGGUGAAAUGCGUAGAGAUCUGGAGGAAUACCGGUGGCGAAGGCGGCCCCCUGGACAAAGACUGACGCUCAGGUGCGAAAGCGUGGGGAGCAAACA